This is a long non-coding RNA of Dermacentor silvarum, 548 nucleotides long. RefSeq lists it as uncharacterized. The record is from RefSeq and is a predicted model, not a curated record. The transcript has 3 exons. NCBI's taxonomy places the organism in Eukaryota, Metazoa, Arthropoda, Arachnida, Ixodida, Ixodidae.
GAUUUUGUAAAGAGAACCUGUAGGCAACGAACGAUGCUAGACCACCACUUGUCAUCACAAAUCAAUGCCUUACAGGCAUUGCUGUACUGCAUUACAAAAUAUCCUUUACUUUUCCUAACUUUUGUGACCUCUGUUAGCCGCUGUCAAGCUUAACAGUUUGCUUUUCAUAAACACAGAGCGACUCGCAGCAGCCUGGGCCAUCAUCGGUAGACAGGAGCGGCACCUCUUGUGCGUCCACUGCAGGAGCUGCAAGUGGUGUCAGCCGACCUCCAAGAGCCGCACCGACCAAAAGUAGCCUGCUUGAACAAGCUGUUUCCGACACGGCAAAGCGAGUAAACAUGGUGGCAGCAAGCAACGAGGUGUCAGAGAAAAUGUUGGAGGAGUCCUGCAAGCAAACUGCUGAACUGCGGGCCAUAAAGGACGAGGUCAGCAGGCUUGCUGACGCUAUGCAACGACAAACAGAGGCGUUCGAGAGGCAGCUGAAGCCCAUCACGGACUUAGCCACGCUGCUUGCAUCGUUAAUUAGAAAUUCAGUUUUGCAGGACUGA